AAAAAAAGUACGAUUAGGUACUCUGUCUUAUUCUCAGUAAUCUCUUGAUUUACACAUGCAAGUCUCAGCACACCAGUGAGGACGCCCUUACCCCUUCUAUAGGACAGGGAGCUGAUCUCAAGCACUUGGGGAGGAGCAAAGUCUAUGGCGACCUCGGAGGAGGAGAGGGCUUACGAGGGGAGCUAGACUUUAGCGCGCGGGCUGCAGGAAAAGUACCACGAGCGGGGAAAAAAGACAGAAGGCCCGCCCACCAAGUGGAAGCGGGAAGGGUGAUUAUACCCUCAGUCGAUUGGACUAACGACAGAAACGAGAGAAGCAGGAGGGAGGCGUACCGAAGGGCGGCAAGUGGGAGGGGGGCCCACCGCUGCCUCGCGCAUUGACUCGCUGCACGAAGACGAAAGUCAUCCGGCAGUUGUGGCUAUACAACCCGUGGCAUAAAUACACAUUGACCAGACCCAGGGGACCAAGCACGAAAAAACGAGAGCACAACUGGUGUGCCACACUCAGUCUGGGAAAACUCGCCGCUAUGACCGGAAUCACCGAAGUAUCG
This 550-nucleotide ribosomal RNA is filed under the name Fejervarya cancrivora (crab-eating frog). RNAcentral's name for it is "partial 12S ribosomal RNA". Lineage: Eukaryota; Metazoa; Chordata; Amphibia; Anura; Dicroglossidae. The record is from RNAcentral.